RNAcentral lists this long non-coding RNA (646 nucleotides) under Marmota monax (woodchuck). Lineage: Eukaryota; Metazoa; Chordata; Mammalia; Rodentia; Sciuridae. The record is from RNAcentral.
CUGGGAAACCAGCAUUUUAGUGUUUUCUUUCCCUUAGCAUUCUUUCAGGGAUCUGGUCAAAGCAAAAGCCUUAGCCUUUCCAACAGACAUCCCCCAAUACUUACUACCUGCCUGAAUGUUACUGACUGUAUCAUACAUUUAUCUAUUACGCACCAUCAUUGUGACAGGGAGAAACCAGAGUGCUCUAGGGAAAAAAGGUUUCACUUUAAUCAAGAAAAGCUGGGUUUGAAUUCCAGGGCUGCCACAUAUUAACUGCAUGAGCUCUGAGCCUCUACUUGUUCUUUUAUAAAAUACAAAACCUUUCUGGGGGGCUGGGGAUGUGGCUCAAGCAGUAGCGCACUCGUCUGGCAUGUGUGCGUCCCGGGUUCGAUCCUCAGCACCACAUACAAACAAAGAUGUUGUGUCUGCCAAAAACUUAAAAUAAAUAAAUAUUAUUAAAAAAAAAAACCUUGCUGGAUUAUCAAAAAAGAUUAAAUGAGUUCAUAAAGUGCCUAACACAUAGAAAGCUUCUACAAGAAUCAGCUAAUCUGAACAUAUGCAAACACAUCAAGCACUGUUCAUUCUUUUUAAUGGCACAAUAGAGACAAAUGUUAUUUUCCCAGAAAGGCGGGCAUGUGGGUGUGGGUGUGGGUGGGGGUGUGAGUGG